This 847-nucleotide ribosomal RNA is filed under the name uncultured Planctomycetales bacterium. RNAcentral's name for it is "bacterial SSU rRNA". It matches the Rfam family "Bacterial small subunit ribosomal RNA", at positions 8 to 847 of the family's 1533-position model. Lineage: Bacteria; Pseudomonadati; Planctomycetota; Planctomycetia; Planctomycetales. The record is from RNAcentral.
AGAGUUUGAUCCUGGCUCAGAACGAACGUUGGCGGCGUGGAUUAGGCAUGCAAGUCGUGGGCGAAAGGGGCUUCGGCCCCGAGUAGACCGGCGAACGGGGCAGUAAUGCGUGGGUAACCAACCCCCCGGAUGGGGAUAACCCCUGGAAACGGGGGCUAAUACCCAGCGGGCUCACGGGCACUGCGGUGUCUGUGAGUAAAGGGUGCGAAUCCGCCGGGGGACGGGCUCACGUGGUACCAGCUAGUUGGUGAGGUAAUGGCUCACCAAGGCUACGACGCCUAGCGGGUGUUAGCGCAUGGCCCGCGCCACUGGGACUGAGACACUGCCCAGACACCUACGGGUGGCUGCAGUCGAGAAUCUUCGGCAAUGCCCGCAAGGGUGACCGAGCGACGCCGCGUGGGGGAAGAAGGCCUUCGGGUUGUAAACCCCUGUCAGGAGGGCGGAAAGGCCGGGAGGAUCUCCUCCUGGCGUUUGACCUCCCUCCAGAGGAAGCACGGGCUAAGUUCGUGCCAGCAGCCGCGGUAAGACGGACCGUGCGAACGUUGUUCGGAAUUACUGGGCUUAAAGGGCGCGUAGGCGGCUCGCUAAGUCGGUGGUGAAAGCCUCCGGCUCAACCGGAGAAGUGCUGCCGAUACUGGCGGGCUCGAGGGAGGUAGAGGUGCGUGGAACUACCGGUGGAGCGGUGAAAUGCGUUGAUAUCGGUAGGAACGCCGGUGGCGAAGGCGGCGCACUGGGCCUCACCUGACGCUGAGGCGCGAAAGCCAGGGGAGCGAACGGAUUAGAUACCCGGGUAGUCCUGGCUGUAAACGANGGGCNCCNAGGUAGACCCGGCUGACGGGUUUGCUCU